UAUCUCUGUAGAGUCUGCAUAUCAAUAAGCGGAGGAAAAGAAACUAACUAGGAUUCCCUCAGUAACGGCGAGUGAAGCGGGAAGAGCUCAAAUUUGAAAUCUUCAAGGUUCUACCUUGACGAAUUGUAGUUUAAAGAAGUGUUUUCUGUUGGAGUUUUGGUAAAAGUUCUUUGGAAUAGGACAUCAUAGAGGGUGAGAAUCCCGUAUUUGACCAUUAUUUCCAGCUUUGUGAUACACUUUCAAAGAGUCGGAUUGUUUGGGAAUGCAGUCCAAAAUGGGUGGUAAAUUUCAUCUAAAGCUAAAUACUGGCGAGAGACCGAUAGCGAACAAGUACCGUGAGGGAAAGAUGAAAAGAACUUUGAAAAGAGAGUUAAACAAUACGUGAAAUUGUCAAAAGGGAAGCGUUUGACACCAGUGUUGUUUUCUCGAAAAUCAAUUAAAAAAGGCAGGAUUUUGUGUUGUAUUGACUUUAUCAGCUUUCUGCACUCUUUUCUUGUCUUUUUUAAUGCACUUUUCGUUUAACAAGUCAACAUCAAUUUCUUUUGUUGUAAAAGGGUCAUUGGAAGGUGGCUUUCUUUUCGGAGAAAGUGUUUAUAGCCUUUGGCCUCUGCAAUCGGAGAGAUUGAGGUCUGCAGCGUAGAUCCUUCGGGGUUAGAUACAUCUGUGCUAAGUUAUAGCCUUUCAUAGACAACUUGUUGACUAUGAUCAGUCAUGUAGCUUACUCGCUUAUGCUAUUUUACCUACGCUUAGGAUGUUGACGAUCAGCUGAGCGCG
This 774-nucleotide ribosomal RNA is filed under the name uncultured Neocallimastigales. Its description in RNAcentral is "partial large subunit ribosomal RNA". It matches the Rfam family "Eukaryotic large subunit ribosomal RNA", at positions 24 to 627 of the family's 3401-position model. Lineage: Eukaryota; Fungi; Neocallimastigomycota; Neocallimastigomycetes; Neocallimastigales. The record is from RNAcentral.